CAAACAGCAGCGAUGGCUCAAGCAAAGGACACGCACAAAUGUAAGUAUUUUCAGCACUUUAAUUACGGCAGACUGGUGUAAUAAUACUAUUUUCGAGCGUUUUUUAAUUGUGAAGUUAGUUUUGAAUCACUAGUCAAGUUUGUUUUGAUUCACUAGUCAAGUUUGUUUUGAAUCACUAGAAGCCGAUGCUAAUGUGUUCCGCUAUCGCUAUUUGUUGAGAUAGAUAUCCGAUAACCCUUGACAUGACAUGUUAAGGUUUCAAGUAAAAUUUGUGUGCAGUGGAUUUGCUUACUACUACAAUUCCUUGGUUGAUUAUACCGGCGCACUGAUUUGAUAUCGGUAAAGCUUCCACCUAGGCUACGUCGCUCGCCUGUCAAACUGAAGAUUUCCUUUCCACUUUUACCUCAGGGACACCACAGGAGACCAGACGGCUCAUUAAUUUCAGGGCGACCAGGGACAAUGAGUUUCUCAAAUCGAAAAUGAUCGCCAGAAAACAGUGGGAGCUUUUUCUGGAAGAAACGGGGAUGGAGGGGAAAGUGACAAGGCAACAGGCUUCUAAGAAGUGGGAGAACCUUAAAAAGAAGUACAAGGAUUUGAGGACUCCCAAAACUGGUUCGGGGACUGAAAGUGGGGAGGUGACUGUGGCGACGUGGCAGUAUUAUGAUUUGAUGCACAAGGUUCUUGGUGCCCGGCCAGCAAUUGACCCACCAGUCCUUGUGUCAUCGAUUCAAGACCCCAUGGUUAUCCUCAUGGAGAUGGUUGAGCCCUACACCCAAGCACCCACGACAGCAGCCAGCACCCCAGUACACCCUACCACAUCAAUCAUACGAAGGAGGUCCAAAACAGUGGCAGAACUCCUGGCUGAGGAGGCCCUUCAGGAGCAGAGGCGCCAUGAAGAGAGUGAGGCCAAGACGGAUCGCUUUCUGGAUCUCUUUGAGAGGAUGGUCAACAAGUUAUAAUUAUUGAUUUUUGUUGUUCCUAUGUUUUUUAUUCUUGCUAUUUAUUAAUUUAUGCUAUUUAUUAUUCCUAUUUAUUAUUGUUAUAUAUAUUUCUAUUUAUUAAUUUAUGCUAUUUAUUAUUCCUAUUUAUUAUUGUUAUAUAUAUUU
Gadus morhua (Atlantic cod) is the source of this 1106-nucleotide long non-coding RNA. The record is from Ensembl. NCBI's taxonomy places the organism in Eukaryota, Metazoa, Chordata, Actinopteri, Gadiformes, Gadidae.